This 736-nucleotide long non-coding RNA is filed under the name Homo sapiens (human). RNAcentral's name for it is "long non-coding RNA NONHSAT184352.1". Lineage: Eukaryota; Metazoa; Chordata; Mammalia; Primates; Hominidae. The record is from RNAcentral.
CCCGGAGUCUAUUCGAAGGGGGCUGCUACGUCAGCGCGUCUCAGCGUAAGACGGCGCUAUUCCGCUGUAACAGCUUCCGGCGGGUCCUGGAUGUUGAUGUCCUGCAUCUAACGCGGUGUAACCCCCGAAGCCGAGCGAGCUCCGGAGGAAUUUCAGUAUCUGCUACGGUAACUUCAUCAGCCCGCCAAGAUGGCGAUGCAAGCGGCCAAGAGGGCGAACAUUCGACUUCCACCUGAAGUAAAUCGGAUAUUGUAUAUAAGAAAUUUGCCAUACAAAAUCACAGCUGAAGAAAUGUAUGAUAUAUUUGGGAAAUAUGGACCUAUUCGUCAAAUCAGAGGGGAACACACCUGAAACUAGAGGAACAGCUUAUGUGGUCUAUGAGGACAUCUUUGAUGCCAAGAAUGCAUGUGAUCACCUAUCGGGAUUCAAUGUUUGUAACAGAUACCUUGUGGUUUUGUACUAUAAUGCCAACAGGGCAUUUCAGAAGAUGGACACAAAGAAGAAGGAGGAACAGUUGAAGCUUCUCAAGGAGAAAUAUGGCAUCAACACAGAUCCACCAAAAUAAAUGUUUUCUACAUUUUCAUUUGGACUAAAUCCCACGAAUGACAACUACCACCUUUUUUUCCUUUUUAAUUAAUACUAAAUAUUGUGAUUUCUUAUUUGAGGUUCAAAAUGACCUGCUUGAAACUUUGAUACAUAUUGGAAUACAUUAUGUUAAUAAACUUGUAGCUUUUUG